Molecule: long non-coding RNA, 663 nt
Filed under: Homo sapiens (human)
Lineage: Eukaryota; Metazoa; Chordata; Mammalia; Primates; Hominidae
Description: non-protein coding lnc-YTHDF1-5:1
Source: RNAcentral
UGGCUUCUGGGGUGCUCUGCAGUGGAGGCCUGUGCUGUCCACGUGUAAUGUCAGCCCGGUGAGGCGAGGACAGGUCACGGCAGCUCAGCCAGGGAUGCUGUGUCCGUACGCCGACCUGCGCUGGGGCUCCCUUGAGCUGGCUGUCCCACCGCCUCAUUCCCGGGGCACCCACGUGGGAAAGCUCUGAGACGUGUCCCAGGGUGGGCUUGGGGGACCCCUUUCUCCAUGCUGUGCAUCUGGGGGCCGCCAGACUCAGGAGCAGAGGCCGCCCCUCCUAUGCGAUCAUGGGACCCCUUCCCCCGGGGGCUGGAUGCAAGCAGGUGUGCCCGGGAGCUGUGUUCAGCUGCCGCCCCAUCCUCUCCUCUCCCUAGUACACGCUGUGGGCAGCCGUCUGGGUCACCUGGAACGUCUUCAUCAUCUGCUUCUACCUGGAAGUCGGUGGCCUCUUAAAGGACAGCGAGCUACUGACCUUCAGCCUCUCCCGGCAUCGCUCCUGGUGGCGUGAGCGCUGGCCAGGCUGUCUGCAUGAGGAGGUGCCAGCAGUGGGCCUCGGGGCCCCCCAUGGCCAGGCCCUGGUGUCAGGUGCUGGCUGUGCCCUGGAGCCCAGCUAUGUGGAGGCCCUACACAGUUGCCUGCAGAUCCUGAUCGCGCUUCUGGGCUUUG